RNAcentral lists this ribosomal RNA (497 nucleotides) under uncultured bacterium. RNAcentral describes it as "partial 16S ribosomal RNA". It matches the Rfam family "Bacterial small subunit ribosomal RNA", at positions 28 to 507 of the family's 1533-position model. The record is from RNAcentral.
GAUGAACGCUGGCGGCGUGCCUAAUACAUGCCAGUCGAGCGAACAGAUGAGGAGCUUGCUCCUCUGACGUUAGCGGCGGACGGGUGAGUAACACGUGGAUAACCUACCUAUAAGACUGGGAUAACUUCGGGAAACCGGAGCUAAUACCGGAUAAUAUAUUGAACCGCACGGUUCAAUAGUGAAAGACGGUUUUGCUGUCACUUAUAGAUGGAUCCGCGCCGCAUUAGCUAGUUGGUAAGGUAACGGCUUACCAAGGCAACGAUGCGUAGCCGACCUGAGAGGGUGAUCGGCCACACUGGAACUGAGACACGGUCCAGACUCCUACGGGAGGCAGCAGUAGGGAAUCUUCCGCAAUGGGCGAAAGCCUGACGGAGCAACGCCGCGUGAGUGAUGAAGGUCUUCGGAUCGUAAAACUCUGUUAUUAGGGAAGAACAAAUGUGUAAGUAACUAUGCACGUCUUGACGGUACCUAAUCAGAAAGCCACGGCUAACUACGUG